Non-coding RNA from Crepidotus variabilis, 87 nucleotides. NCBI's taxonomy places the organism in Eukaryota, Fungi, Basidiomycota, Agaricomycetes, Agaricales, Crepidotaceae. The record is from the annotation of a GenBank genome assembly.
UCGGGUAUGGUGUAACGGCUAACAUUGCCGCCUCUCAUGUUUGAAGUUAGAUCGCGGCAGCUCGGGGUUCGAUUCCCCGUACCCGAA